CCAGUUUCCAUGUUUUACCAAUCUUCAUACGUUUGUCUAGUCUUGCAAAGUUAGGUUAGGUUAGGUUAGGUUAGGUUAGGUUAGCAAGCCAUCAGAGGUCGUGUGGAUGAGCCUCAAUAAAAGACGCCAGCCAGUUUCCACAUUUUACCAAUCUUCAUACGUUUGUCUAGUCUUGCAAAGUUAGGUUAGGUUAGGUUAGCAAGCCAUCAGAGGUCGUGUGGAAGAGCCUCAAUAAAAGACGCCAGCCAGUUUC
This is a long non-coding RNA of Scylla paramamosain (green mud crab), 253 nucleotides long. RefSeq lists it as uncharacterized. The record is from RefSeq and is a predicted model, not a curated record. The transcript has 2 exons. NCBI's taxonomy places the organism in Eukaryota, Metazoa, Arthropoda, Malacostraca, Decapoda, Portunidae.